CUGGCUGCCCGCGGGGGUUCAGAAAGGGUCCUGUCAGUUCCACCUCCUAGCCCUCCCGCGCCCAUUCCUAUGGAGUUAGGGGGGGCCGCGUCGAGGGGAACCGGAGGAGGGCGCUCCUCCUGCACCAGCUGUGGUCGGAAAGGACACACGGCCGACUGGUGCUGGGGUGGGGCCCCUCUGGGAGUCGAGAGGGCAGGCAGAACACUUCUCUGUCAUUCCAGGCCGGUGGUAGCUGGUCCCCUACAAGACGGUGAGGUGCCGGAGGUCCCUCCGCCCCCUCUAGACAUCAAGGGGUCCCCGGCGUACACAGUAUGUGCUAUUCUGGACUCGAGAAGCCGGGUGAGGGGCCUGCAGUACCUCGUGGACUGGGAGAGGUACAGCCCGGAGGAGAGGUGCUGGGUACCGGUGGGGGUACCGGUGGGGGACAUCCUGGAUCCAUCACUGUUGAGGGAUUUCCAUCGCCUCCAUCCGGAUCGCCCUACGCCUCGCCCUCCGGGUCGGCGCACUGCGGGAGCCGCGCGUCGGGGGGGAUACUUUCAGGAUUCCUACUGAGGGUGACUCCUCUCCCUGUUCGGGUGGCGCUCGGCGGUCGUCGUCACCGGCCUACUAGCUGCCACCGAUCCCUUUUUCCCUUUCUGUUUGUUUUGUCUAAUUAGUUUCACCUGUUUUCAUUUAGGCUUGUUAGUUGGGCUAUUUAAGCCAGUAGGCCCGCCUGUUCUUUGUGCGGACUUAAUGAUCCUUCCACUGUGUUCUGUGUGGUGGAUAGUAUAUUUUGGGCGUUUGUAUUUUGGUGCGCCCGACAUUUUG
This 807-nucleotide long non-coding RNA is filed under the name Salmo salar (Atlantic salmon). RNAcentral describes it as "lncRNA (ENSSSAG00000108532.1)". Lineage: Eukaryota; Metazoa; Chordata; Actinopteri; Salmoniformes; Salmonidae. The record is from RNAcentral.